RNAcentral lists this ribosomal RNA (504 nucleotides) under Pseudomonas sp. RNAcentral's name for it is "bacterial SSU rRNA". It matches the Rfam family "Bacterial small subunit ribosomal RNA", at positions 53 to 552 of the family's 1533-position model. Lineage: Bacteria; Pseudomonadati; Pseudomonadota; Gammaproteobacteria; Pseudomonadales; Pseudomonadaceae. The record is from RNAcentral.
ACAUGCAAGUCGAGCGGAUGAAAGGAGCUUGCUCCUGGAUUCAGCGGCGGACGGGUGAGUAAUGCCUAGGAAUCUGCCUGGUAGUGGGGGACAACGUUUCGAAAGGAACGCUAAUACCGCAUACGUCCUACGGGAGAAAGCAGGGGACCUUCGGGCCUUGCGCUAUCAGAUGAGCCUAGGUCGGAUUAGCUAGUUGGUGAGGUAAUGGCUCACCAAGGCGACGAUCCGUAACUGGUCUGAGAGGAUGAUCAGUCACACUGGAACUGAGACACGGUCCAGACUCCUACGGGAGGCAGCAGUGGGGAAUAUUGGACAAUGGGCGAAAGCCUGAUCCAGCCAUGCCGCGUGUGUGAAGAAGGUCUUCGGAUUGUAAAGCACUUUAAGUUGGGAGGAAGGGUUGUAGAUUAAUACUCUGCAAUUUGGACGUUACCGACAGAAUAAGCACCGGCUAACUCUGUGCCAGCAGCCGCGGUAAUACAGAGGGUGCAAGCGUUAAUCGGAAUU